RNAcentral lists this ribosomal RNA (497 nucleotides) under uncultured bacterium. RNAcentral describes it as "partial 16S ribosomal RNA". It matches the Rfam family "Bacterial small subunit ribosomal RNA", at positions 28 to 507 of the family's 1533-position model. The record is from RNAcentral.
GAUGAACGCUGGCGGCGUGCCUAAUACAUGCAAGUCGAGCGAACAGACGAGGAGCUUGCUCCUCUGACGUUAGCGGCGGACGGGUGAGUAACACGUGGAUAACCUACCUAUAAGACUGGGAUAACUUCGUGAAACCGGAGCUAAUACCGGAUAAUAUAUUGAACCGCAUGGUUCAAUAGUGAAAGACGGUUUUGCUGUCACUUAUAGAUGGAUCCGCGCCGCAUUAGCUAGUUGGUAAGGUAACGGCUUACCAAGGCAACGAUGCGUAGCCGACCUGAGAGGGUGAUCGGCCACACUGGAACUGAGACACGGUCCAGACUCCUACGGGAGGCAGCAGUAGGGAAUAUUCCGCAAUGGGCGAAAGCCUGACGGAGCAACGCCGCGUGAGUGAUGAAGGUCUUCGGAUCGUAAAACUCUGUUAUUAGGGAAGAACAAAUGUGUAAGUAACUAUGCACGUCUUGACGGUACCUAAUCAGAAAGCCACGGCUAACUACGUG